AAAAAAGGAAAUUACAGUUGUUGUACUUACACACAAUUUUAUUGUAAGCUAAUUCAGAAAUACAAUUUUGUCAUCUAACAAAUAAAUUAAUGUUUGCCCAACUCAAUAUUCUCAGAAUUUGGUCAACAAGGAAAUUUGAUUCACCAAAACAAGAUUUUUUGUUUCCCUCAACUUUCUAACAAGAUUAGAAAGAUUCUAACACAAAAAAUUAAGUUUCCUCAACUGUAUGUUCAUGGACACGCCUACUACGGGGUUUCCUUCCUGUCUCCAUGGACAUACACAGGUCUCCACGAGUCGACCGUUCUACCAUUUUCCCUCGAAGUUGAGAGGAUUGCCAGACGUGAGAUUCAUAUCAGAUAUCUAAAGAAUUUUAUAGAGUCACCAGCAAAAACCUCCAUGAAACUUGGAAUGCAUCUCUUGACAAGUAUACGUCCCGCCUGAUAAAACUUUACCGAGCCAGGAAGACAGCUUUUGGUCAAGAUUUGGAAAAGUUACUGAAUUCACUUGAUGAAGAGACGGCAGACAUUGCGCGCCAUAGAAGGACGACAGCAUUGAGAGGCCUUCCCAUUUUUGUUAGAGAGGAUGCAUCAGAGUUCUUUCUGAAGUGCAUGAACACAGACCCUGAGGAAGAGGUGGUUGGAGGAGUGGCAGUUGCCAUACUGACUGUCUAUGACGAUGAUGAUGGCACCGAAUCCCCACCAGUGACUGAAAUCAAUGUCAUCUUGGAAGGGGCAGUUAUAAAACACGACCUACCUGACCUCGCUGCUGCCUUCGCCUACCUGUUUGGCCUAAUGUAUGCAAUGGACAUAAGCUAUCCAGAGAAGAUGAGGUACACCUUUGAGGCCAUCCAGACUAUCUUUUCCGAGCUUGGUUCAAGAUGCUCGCAGCGCACGCGAUCCUUGAAAGAGAAGCUUUUGCUGUGAAGCCUGUGUAUGAUUUACACUCACACACACAUACACACGAACGCACGCACGCCCAGCUCUGUCAUCACUCCUCCAUGAACAAGCCUACACCAGCUCUUUCACACACACACACACACACACACACACACACACACACACACACACACCAGUAGCCCAUUGA
Long non-coding RNA from Eleginops maclovinus (Patagonian blennie), 1083 nucleotides. RefSeq lists it as uncharacterized. Lineage: Eukaryota; Metazoa; Chordata; Actinopteri; Perciformes; Eleginopidae. The record is from RefSeq and is a predicted model, not a curated record. The transcript has 4 exons.